GGUAAAUAAUAGUAUCUUUUAUUGUACAGCAAUUAUAAGGUAAUAGUUUAUGAGGUCUUCUUAUAUAAUUUGUUAUGAAUGUAUAGCAUCAAACCUAGACUAGUGAUUUGGAUAAAUACAUUGCUAAAAUCCUAAUGGGAUAAGCAAGGUGUUCUUAGUACCAGUCAGUAUAUUCUUUUUUUCUCAUAAGAGGAUUUUGGGUGUGCAUCACCAUUUGUUUGAUCCAGAUAUUUUCGUUUCCUUUUGUUGAAGUGAGAAACACUACUUCCUGGAGCCAUUGUUUUCUCAAUGUUUUAGUUUGGUCUAAAAGAUCAGGAACAGAAAAUGAAAUUUUCUUUAUUAUUUUCUGUGCUCCAAACCCAUGGUUUUCUUUAUACAAAUCUUGGCAAUAGGUCCCAAGCACAAGAACAGGCUGGGCAGAGAAUGGAUUGAGACUAAUCCUGUUGAAACACACUUGGAGGUGUUUGUGGAUGACAAGCUCAAUAUGGCUCAGCAAUGUGUGCUCAUGGCCCAGAAAGCCAAAAAUGUCCUGGGCUGCAUCCAAAGCAGUGUGGCCAGCAGGAACAGGGAGGGGAUUCUGCCCCUCUGCUCUGCUGAGACCCCACCUGCAGUGCUGCAUCCAGCCCCGGGGUCCCAGCAUAGGAAGGACAUGGAACUGUUGGAGCAAGUCCAGAGGAGGCCAUGAAGAUGAUCAAAAGGGCUGGAACACCUCUCCUAGGAAGACAGGCUGGGAAACUUGAAGCUGUUCAGCCUUGAGAAGAGAUGGCUCUGUUACUUUAACUGAACAAGAUUAAAAGCCAGCCAAAGGAAAUAACAACAGGGACAGUCAAGUCAGCAUGUCAAGGGAGUCUUGUUUACAAACUAUAGCCAAUAUCAAUUUAUUUCUGGCUUCAAUUCCUGACCUCCACUUUAAAAGCAAUUAUUCAAAAAUGACAAAUCUUAUGAAGACUGAGGACUGGCAUGUUAUGGAUCUUCACCAGACGUGUCUAUGAGAAGACAGAGGCUGUUUGCAUUUGGUAUAUGCAAUGGAUGCAUGGGAUACGACAUGACAAGGAAGAGGCUAAAGAGUCAU
This is a long non-coding RNA of Vidua chalybeata, 1072 nucleotides long. RefSeq lists it as uncharacterized. The record is from RefSeq and is a predicted model, not a curated record. Lineage: Eukaryota; Metazoa; Chordata; Aves; Passeriformes; Viduidae. The transcript is spliced from 3 exons.